This 443-nucleotide ribosomal RNA is filed under the name uncultured bacterium. RNAcentral describes it as "partial 16S ribosomal RNA". It matches the Rfam family "Bacterial small subunit ribosomal RNA", at positions 338 to 795 of the family's 1533-position model. The record is from RNAcentral.
CCUACGGGAGGCAGCAGUGGGGGAUAUUGGACAAUGGGGGGAACCCUGAUCCAGCGACGCCGCGUGAGUGAAGAAGUAUUUCGGUAUGUAAAGCUCUGUCAGCAGGGAAGAAAGAAAUGACGGUACCUGACCAAGAAGCCCCGGCUAACUACGUGCCAGCAGCCGCGGUAAUACGGAGGGGGCAAGCGUUAUCCGGAAUUACUGGGUGUAAAGGGAGCGUAGACGGUUAAGUAAGUCUGGAGUGAAAGGCCGGGGCCCAACCCCGGGACUGCUCUGGAAACUAUUGAACUUGAGUGCAGGAGAGGUAAGCGGAAUUCCUAGUGUAGCGGUGAAAUGCGUAGAUAUUAGGAGGAACACCAGUGGCGAAGGCGGCUUACUGGACUGUAACUGACGUUGAGGCUCGAAAGCGUGGGGAGCAAACAGGAUUAGAUACCCCGGUAGUC